This 493-nucleotide ribosomal RNA is filed under the name uncultured bacterium. RNAcentral's name for it is "SSU rRNA". It matches the Rfam family "Bacterial small subunit ribosomal RNA", at positions 26 to 518 of the family's 1533-position model. The record is from RNAcentral.
AGGACGAACGCUGGCGGCGUGCUUAACACAUGCAAGUGGAGCGACGAACCAGGGCUUGCCCUGGGGCAGAGCCGCGAACGGGUGAGUAACACGUGGGUUACCUGCCUUGAUGACCGGGACAACCCGAGGAAACUCGGGCUAAUACCGGAUGUGCCCGCAAGGGGAAAGGAAGCUUCGGCCUCCGCAUCAAGAUGGGCCCGCGGCCCAUUAGCUUGUUGGUGAGGUAACGGCUCACCAAGGCUUCGAUGGGUAGCUGGUCUGAGAGGACGAUCAGCCACACUGGGACUGAGACACGGCCCAGACUCCUACGGGAGGCAGCAGUGGGGAAUCUUGCGCAAUGCGCGAAAGCGUGACGCAGCAACGCCGCGUGGGGGAAGAAGGCUUUCGGGUUGUAAACCCCUUUCAGUUGGGACGAAGCUUCGUUCGGUGAAUAGCCGAACGGAGUGACGGUACCUUCACAAGAAGCACCGGCUAACUACGUGCCAGCAGCCGC